CCUACGGGGUGCUGCAGUGGGGAAUAUUGCACAAUGGGCGCAAGCCUGAUGCAGCCAUGCCGCGUGUGUGAAGAAGGCCUUCGGGUUGUAAAGCACUUUCAGCGGGGAGGAAGGCGGUGAGGUUAAUAACCUCAUCGAUUGACGUUACCCGCAGAAGAAGCACCGGCUAACUCCGUGCCAGCAGCCGCGGUAAUACGGAGGGUGCAAGCGUUAAUCGGAAUUACUGGGCGUAAAGCGCACGCAGGCGGUCUGUCAAGUCGGAUGUGAAAUCCCCGGGCUCAACCUGGGAACUGCAUUCGAAACUGGCAGGCUAGAGUCUUGUAGAGGGGGGUAGAAUUCUAGGUGUAGCGGUGAAAUGCGUAGAGAUCUGGAGGAAUACCGGUGGCGAAGGCGGCCCCCUGGACAAAGACUGACGCUCAGGUGCGAAAGCGUGGGGAGCAAACAGGAUUAGAUACCCGGGUAGUC
This 465-nucleotide ribosomal RNA is filed under the name uncultured Klebsiella sp. RNAcentral's name for it is "bacterial SSU rRNA". It matches the Rfam family "Bacterial small subunit ribosomal RNA", at positions 338 to 795 of the family's 1533-position model. Lineage: Bacteria; Pseudomonadati; Pseudomonadota; Gammaproteobacteria; Enterobacterales; Enterobacteriaceae. The record is from RNAcentral.